GCGAGCGUGGCGGAAUGGCAGACGCACCAGAUUCAGGUUCUGGCGGGGUAACACCCGUGAAGGUUCAAGUCCUUUCGCUCGCA
This 83-nucleotide transfer RNA is filed under the name Myxococcales bacterium. RNAcentral describes it as "tRNA-Leu". It matches the Rfam family "tRNA". Rfam says of the family: Transfer RNA (tRNA) molecules are approximately 80 nucleotides in length. Their secondary structure includes four short double-helical elements and three loops (D, anti-codon, and T loops). Lineage: Bacteria; Pseudomonadati; Myxococcota; Myxococcia; Myxococcales. The record is from RNAcentral.